UGGCAUUUUCUUAAACCACUUAUUGCCACCUGGCAUCUUAUCGCUCCUUCUUGAAUCAAUAUGAGCGGCAAAACCACACACCUCCGCUCUUUUUCCUUCUCCGUUCCAAACCCUAAAUGCCACACAUUCUUUCUUCCUCUCCUCUUUACACUGUUGCUGCUUCUUCUACAUUCCUUUUUUUCGCCAAUGUCUUUCAUCGGUCUCACACUCAGAAUGAAAUUCCUUCUCCUUCGAUCUCCUUUCCUAUUUCACUAUAAACUAACCCUAUAAAUCUUUCAAGCAACACAACAUUCUCCGCCUUCGAUCUCUAAUCACAUCGAUGGAAAUUUUUAUCCUCAGGUAACCUUACAUGGCGAGUUGAAUCAAGUAAGCAACAGAAACCCUAAAUUGGAACCAGGUGAACUCUCAUCCAGUCAACCUUCAUUGAUGAACUGCCGAAGUAGAGAGACUGCAUUUCGUCUUGGGGUGCACACAAAUGGGGUAAAUGUAUAAUUUUUAUGCCAAGAAAGCACGAUAUCGAUCGGUUGGCAUAACGCGAUAUAUGUCAAGACCAGCGGGAGAAAAUGCUAUUGAGCUUUAGAGACUGUCGUUUCAAUGUUUUAGUAGCCACGGAUAUUUCUACUCACCGGACUUGAUGUUCCAAAUGUUGAUAUGGUCUGUCUUCUUCUUUUAUUAGGUGUGGUCGUACAAGCCAGGCUAGGCUGGAAAGAAAGGAAGACCGUUUUAAUUCAUUCAUCUCACCAAUCGUCUGAAGUGAAGGGAUCCAAGCGCAAAGUAGGAUGCAAAUUUUUGAAGGUAGCAUGAGAAACUUAUUAAUGUCACAUGUUCUGUGGUGUAUAUUCACUAUUAAGCUCCCUAAUAUCAUUGUUAAUGCUGAUUAAAGAAUUAACCUUUGUGGUUACCUGAAGACGUAUAAAUGGUUAUACCUGGAGACAAUGUGACUGCUGAUUUGUUACUUAUUACCCCAGUUGUUCAUGAACGAGGUGCAUUUUCAGAAAAAAAAAAAAAAAAAAAAACUAAAUUCUCAUUUUAUAAAUGCACAAGGAAGACCGAUACAAUUAUAAUUCAUACUAGAGGUGUAAAUAUGGGUGGUCUAGGCGGUUAAGUUAUUUACAGAAGCUAUCAAAUAUAUUUACAUAAGUUGUGUUACGUCAAAUAAGUUCACUCUCUGGUGUGGUUUAUUGUAAUAAUGAGUGUCACUUGACUCACUUCAUUUGGUGUGGUAAUACUGACCCAUGUCCCAAGGAAUGGAUUGAGUUAUAUUCAUCUAUUUUGCGAAAGCAACGGAAGAUGGGCCACAUAACUGUUGUCGAGCCUUCAUUGGGAAUUGUUGAAGUGCAGGUUAAAUCAUUUCUCGAAGAAGAAAGUUCAGAGGAGACUCCAGGUUUAUUUUCUUAAAAAUAGUUUGUAUUGCCAUCUUUUCUUUGGUAAGAAUAGUGUCAGCACACCAGACACCUGAGCUGAUGUUUUUUAUGCAACAUCUGCUCGAGAACGAGGUGUUCAGGUUAUUAUUGCUGGUGCUGGGGUGCAGCCCAUUUGCCAGGUAUGGUAGCUACCCUAACACCAUUACCCGUGAUUGGAGUUCCUGUACGCGCUUCAACAUUGGAUGGCCUUGACUCCCUUCUCUCCAUUGUGCAGGUAUGUAGAUAAAUUAUGUCAAAUUUUCUUAAGCAGGCCAUUUAUCUAAUAAUGACCGUGUUGGGUAUAGAGUCAAAACUGUUAAUGUUAUGGUACAUGUAGUCACAGGUUGGGUAAAUGCCAAACGGGUCGGGUUAGUGGUUCCAACUCGACCCGAACCCGUAAUUUUAGACGAACCCGAAAAUCGUAUCAUACAUAUGAACCCGAACACAACAUGUUCAA
Helianthus annuus (common sunflower) is the source of this 1860-nucleotide long non-coding RNA. RefSeq lists it as uncharacterized. The transcript has 6 exons. Lineage: Eukaryota; Viridiplantae; Streptophyta; Magnoliopsida; Asterales; Asteraceae. The record is from RefSeq and is a predicted model, not a curated record.